GAUGAACGCUGACAGAAUGCUUAACACAUGCAAGUCGAUUCGAUUUACCUUCGGGUAUUGAGGAUGGCGGACGGGUGAGUAACGCGUAAGGAACUUGCCUCUUGGUCUGGGACAACUGUUGGAAACGACAGCUAAUACCGGAUAUUAUGAGAUUCUCGCAUGGGAAACUUAUGAAGGCUAUAUGCGCCAAGAGAGAGCCUUGCGUUCCAUUAGCUAGUUGGUGGGGUAACGGCCCACCAAGGCGACGAUAGAUAGCCGGCCUGAGAGGGUGAACGGCCACAGGGGGACUGAGACACGGCCCUUACUCCUACGGGAGGCAGCAGUGGGGAAUAUUGGACAAUGGGCCACAAGCCUGAUCCAGCAAUUCUGUGUGCACGAUGAAGGUCUUCGGAUUGUAAAGUGCUUUCAGUUGGGAAGAAGAAAGUGACGGUACCAACAGAAGAAGCGACGGCUAAAUACGUGCCAGCAGCCGCGGUAA
RNAcentral lists this ribosomal RNA (478 nucleotides) under uncultured bacterium. RNAcentral describes it as "partial 16S ribosomal RNA". It matches the Rfam family "Bacterial small subunit ribosomal RNA", at positions 28 to 523 of the family's 1533-position model. The record is from RNAcentral.